AUUUAAAUACAUCUCAUGUUGAGGUUCAAC
Non-coding RNA from Clostridium autoethanogenum DSM 10061, 30 nucleotides. NCBI's taxonomy places the organism in Bacteria, Bacillati, Bacillota, Clostridia, Eubacteriales, Clostridiaceae. The record is from Rfam.